Doryrhamphus excisus (bluestripe pipefish) is the source of this 5162-nucleotide non-coding RNA. The record is from RefSeq and is a predicted model, not a curated record. NCBI's taxonomy places the organism in Eukaryota, Metazoa, Chordata, Actinopteri, Syngnathiformes, Syngnathidae.
AGUUUUCCGUUACACCGGAUACACACCAGAUGCGGGUCGCUUACGUCACGUCCGUAGCCUUUUACGCGCGUAGAUUUAAAAAGCUCAAUUCACAUCUGGGGCGCCAGGUGCAGCGUCGCCUAUUCCCCAGCUCUGUCGCCCCUUUGCUCGUUUUGGAAUACAACUCGAUUUGCAUACUAAAAGUCGGUUACUUAAAAGUAGCCCCAUUAAACGGUCUAAAAGGCUUCCAUGUUGGUGUAUUCCCUUUUUAGUGUGUUCUAAAAUGUGUAAAGUAACAAAAGACAUCUCCAGAAAGUUCAAUGAGUGCUCCAAGCCUCGGCUGGGGCUUCCGUGUAGAAGGCAAGGAAGCCGGGGGAAUGCAGGAAGUUGGUAGGGCAUGGUCUGCUAUCAUGUUAAUAAGUGUUACAUGUUAUGUUAACGGCGAGUGGUCGUUUCGCCACUUUCAGUGACACAGUAUAACACAAUAUUGAGAAUAUAGACGCCUUGGAAAGUACACGAAUUAGACGAAACAUAAAUGGUAAGCUAAAGAUGUCAAUGUUAAGGUUGCGAAAUUUGUAUAAUACUGGGUUAAUCGUCGUGCUUUUAUUGUGAACGUUGUGACGGAAACAGUCCUGACGAAAACUAACUUGACUGUAGCUGGCCAACUUCAGUAUGGCGGUCAGCUAACGGAAGCGAGGGGCGUCUUGAUGUUCCAUGAUGAUGGUGGUGACGUUAAAAUAAGGCGCGUCGGCACUUGGAUGAUUAUGCUCGGAAGCGGCGCUGUGGUCGACUCGACUGUUUCCAACAUAAGCAACAGGAAUAGCCUUUCGGAACAGACAACUCUUCUGUGGUGCCUCCGCCUGUCGACUGACCCAGACGGCUAGCAUUGAGAUGGCAGCUGCAGUCCAAGGAAGUUGGAAUUGAUCACCAUUACAAUUUUUAUUGACAACAUAAUAGCCAAAACAGCUCCGCAUCGUUCUUAGCGGAAAUCACAAAGGGCGGCAUAGCAACACCCACUCAAAGAAGGAUGUCCUUUUUUAAUUUUCGCAAGAUUUUCAAGUUUGGGCCCGACAGGAAGAAGAAGCAGUACGAGCAUGUGCACAGAGACGUUAACCCUGAGGAGAUUUGGGACAUCAUCGGGGAACUAGGCGAUGGAGCCUUUGGGAAAGUCUACAAGGCCCAGAACAAACAAAAUGGGACCCUCGCUGCCGCCAAGGUUAUUGACACAAAGACGGAGGAUGAGUUGGAGGACUACAUGGUGGAAAUUGAUAUUCUGGCGUCUUGCAGCCACCAUCACAUUGUCAAACUGCUGGACGCCUUCUAUUUCGAAGGGAAACUCUGGAUCCUCAUUGAGUUCUGUGCGGGCGGCGCAGUGGAUGCCAUUAUGCUGGAACUGGAGAGGCCCCUGACUGAGCCUCAGAUUCGUGUGGUGUGCAAGCAGACCUUGGAGGCCUUGGUCUACCUCCACGAGAACAAGAUCAUCCACAGAGACCUGAAGGCCGGCAACAUUCUCCUCUCCCUGGAUGGAGAAGUGAAACUUGCGGAUUUUGGGGUUUCUGCUAAAAAUACAAAGACGUUACAGAGGAGGGAUUCUUUCAUCGGCACGCCAUACUGGAUGGCCCCAGAGGUGGUGAUGUGUGAAACGUCCAAGGACCGUCCGUACGACUACAAGGCCGACAUCUGGUCCCUCGGGGUGACCCUGAUCGAGCUGGCACAGAUUGAGCCACCCAACCACGAGAUGAAUCCCAUGAGAGUACUGCUGAAAAUAGCCAAGUCCGAGCCGCCCACACUCAUGCAUCCCUCCCGCUGGACACCAGAAUUCAGUGACUUUCUCCGCAAAGCACUUGACAAGAACGUGGACAAUCGGUGGGGCCCGCUGCAGCUUCUACAGCAUCCUUUUGUCGCCAGCGUCGUCGACAGCAAAGCCCUGCGAGAGCUUAUUGCAGAGGCCAAAGCUGAAGUCACAGAGGAGCUUGAGGAUAGCAAAGAAGAGGAAGAGGAGGAGGAGCCUGAUACACCGCUGUCCGAUCCUGGACACAAGCGAGCACCAUCAGAUGCAAGUAUGGUGAGUUCAGAGGACGACAAAGUUCCAGCCACUCUCUCAAUGCUGGAAUCAGUCACAGAAAAGACAGAGGGGGAGCCCACCAAAGACCAGACCACUGAUAAACUCUCUAUUGACACUCUUGGAACAAGUGAGGUCCACAAGGUGGAAAAAAAGCUCAAUCAGUUGCCCGACACCAGUAAUGAAGACACAGCUUCAGGGUCGAUGGAGAAGGACUUGGCCUCAGAGCGUAUGGAGCCAGAAGGACGAGCUGAUGACAUUUGUGCAUCAGAGGAAGGUGUUUUAGAAGGAGUGGCGGCUGAUAGUCAGAGGGAAGAAAGAAAUGAUGAUUGUGGACAAGUGUUACAAGUUCAGCAAGCGCCCGAAGAGGUGACCAAAGAAGAGCUUGAAGGACAGUCAAAUCAGCAACUCACUGAAGAGCCACCUGAGGAUGUACGUGCCAAAGCAGAAGCGGAGGAAGUUGGCAAACCAGAGGAGAUGUUUCAGCCCGAGCUGACUGCUACGGCUAAUGAUAUAGAUGAUAAUAUCGACAGUGGAGGUAAUGAAGAAGCACACGUAGUGGACACAAACACAUAUGAAGACACACAAACAAAGCCGAGUGAGUACCAGUCACCCAUUCCUCUGCUUGAGGAGACAUCUGAGCUGCCCGAUAAGCUUCUCCAAAGUACAAAUGGUGUGUGUGAUGACACCAUUUACCCCUCUGAGGAUGCAGGACAAGAGCUCCCAAUCAAGGAAGAUGAGGAAAGCACUCCAGCAGAAGACGGCAGUGUCCCUGAGAGCAGAAGCGACUCUGAGACCAAGACGGAGCAGGGAAGUCCUGCCAUGGCAUGCCAGGAUGUGGAGAAGGACUCUGAUUCCGGAAGUAGCUCAGCUGCUGACAGCAACAGUCUUGACCUCAAUUUGUCCAUCUCCAGCUUCCUGUCCAAGAGCAAAGAUGGGGGUUCGGUGUCUGUACAGGAGUCAAAAUGUCAGAAGAAGACUCUGAAAAAGACACGUAAGUUCAUGGUGGACGGCGUGGAGGUCAGCGUGACCACAUCGAAGAUAGUGACAGAUGACGACGCCAAGAAUGAGGAGAUGAGGUUCCUGAGGCGGCAGGAGCUCAGAGAGCUGCGCCUGCUGCAGAAGGAGGAGCAGAGAGCCCAGCAGCAGCUCAGCAACAAACUGCAGCAGCAGCGAGACCACAUCUUGCGACGCUUUGAACAGGAAGCAACAGCAAAGAAACGUCAGUGUGACCAGGAAGUGGAGGGCCUGGAGAAGAAGCAGAAACAGACCAUUGAACGCCUGGAGCAGGACCACACCAGCCGACUGCGAGAUGAAGCCAAACGCAUUAAGGCAGAUCAGGACAAGGAGCUGUCCAAGUUCCAGAACAUGCUAAGGAACAAGAGGAAAGAGGCGGUCGCCCAGGUUAUGAUACAGUCUUUUCAGUUGUCCUCAUGCGCACUCUUCAAUGCUCAGAUGCAGGAUGAGCAGGAGUUCCUCCAGAAGCAGCAGCAGGAGCUGGAUGGAGAGCUGAAGAAGAUCAUCCAGCAGCACAAAGUGGAGAUCGCCACCAUGGAGAAGGACUGCUUGAACCACAAGCAGCAGCUGAUGAGAGCUCGGGAGGCGGCCAUGUGGGAGUUGGAGGAGCGUCACCUGCAGGAGAAGCACCUGCAGCUCAAGCAGCAGCUGAAAGACCAGUACUUCCUGCAGCGGCACCAGCUGCUCAAGCGUCACGAGAAAGAGAUGGAGCAGAUGCAGCGCUACAACCAGCGCUUGAUUGAGGAGAUGAAGAACAAGCAGACCCAGGAGAGGGUUCGCCUGCCCAAGAUCCAGCGCAGCGACGGCAAGACGCGCAUGGCCAUGUUCAAGAAGAGUCUACGCAUCGCUGCCUCGGCCGUCGUCACCCCGGAGCAGGAGAGAGAACGCAUUAAACAGUUUGCUUGUCAGGAAGAAAAGAGGCAGAAGAACGAGCGUCUCCAUCAACACCAGAAACACGAGAACCAGAUGCGAGAUCUUCAGCUGCAGUGUGACUCCAACAUCAGAGAGCUGCAGCAACUACAGGUCUCACUCUCCAAGGGUUGUACAAACGUCACAUCAGGGCUGGUCAUUAUUGGGCCGACAUCAUUGGAUGGAAUACACCAGCACCAUGUAAUGUGGGAUUGAACGCUCUCAAAUAUUUACUCCAUGCUGCACACACUGCAAGUUCCAAGUGGCCAUGAUCUGGCUGGUACUGGAAAUCAUACACAGCGUCCUCCAUCGUUACUGGCACCCCACUUAGAUUUCUUCUUUGGAUUCUAAUAAAUUAUUUGUUUUUAUAAAAAAAAGGACCACAAUGAAAAUGGAAGAAACAUUUAUCCUUCAACUAAAGUCAAUUAUAAGGAAAAAAAAGAAAUAAUACCAAAAAAAGACCUGCCCCACAAUGAUAGGCACAUUAAAUGUCACAUGAGCAUUUGUGUCAUUUCUACAGUUGAGAACAUGGAGGAGCAUUUCAUGAGUCCUUCACCACUUCCCGUUUCCUUGGGGUGUAAAUAUGAGGUGACCAAAAGCCAUUUCGAUCCUCUAAAGAUGGGAACACAGCAUUCAAGUUACCCGAGGAACCAUCAGCAAGUUCAAACACGUGAAAGUGGUGAACACGCCUGGACCAGGAUGCAUGUUUAUUUUGAGGAGGAUGCAAAACGAAGUAACAGCUCACUGUUGAAUAAUGCUAGCGUCUCAGGCUCCAAAAUAAGCAUCGGGUGCCAAUGCUUAUGGAGCGCACUUGUUCAAUAUGGCAAAGAUUAGGACCCCUCAACACCAACGCAACACCUGCGUCACAUUCAUUGCACACAUACUUCAUGUAUGAGCUCCAACUUCGUGUAUGUAUCCAAAUGUUGUAAUGUUCCUGCCUCCAGUUCUGCCGAAUGGAAGCGUGCUCACACGUGGUUCGGGUUACUGGUCCAGCAGUGCCCUGCAGGGCCUCAGUAAUAAUCCUCCUCCAUGUUCCAGAAUGAGAAAUGUCACCUCCUCAUUGAGCAUGAGACCCAGAAGCUGAAGGAACUGGAUGAGGAGCACAGCCAGGAGAUAAAGGAGUGGAGGGACAAGCUAAGGCCCAGGAAGAAGGCCCUAGAGGAGGAGUUCACACGCAAGCUCCAGGAGCAGGAGG